GACGGGACCCGCACAAGCGGUGGAUGAUGUGGUUUAAUUCGAUGCAACGCGAAAAACCUUACCCACCUUUGACAUGUACGGAACCCUUUAGAGAUAGAGGGGUGCUCGAAAGAGAGCCGUAACACAGGUGCUGCAUGGCUGUCGUCAGCUCGUGUCGUGAGAUGUUGGGUUAAGUCCCGCAACGAGCGCAACCCUUGUCAUUAGUUGCUACAUUCAGUUGGGCACUCUAAUGAGACUGCCGGUGACAAGCCGGAGAAAGGUGGGGAUGACGUCAAGUCCUCAUGGCCCUUAUAGGUGGGGCUACACACGUCAUACAAUGGCUGGUACAAAGGGUUGCCAACCCGCGAGGGGGAGCCAAUCCCAUAAAGCCAGUCGUAGUCCGGAUCGUAGUCUGCAACUCGACUACGUGAAGUCGGAAUCGCUAGUAAUCGUGGAUCAGAAUGUCACGGUGAAUACGUUCCCGGGCCUU
This 469-nucleotide ribosomal RNA is filed under the name uncultured Rhodoferax sp. Its description in RNAcentral is "bacterial SSU rRNA". It matches the Rfam family "Bacterial small subunit ribosomal RNA", at positions 916 to 1381 of the family's 1533-position model. The record is from RNAcentral. Lineage: Bacteria; Pseudomonadati; Pseudomonadota; Betaproteobacteria; Burkholderiales; Comamonadaceae.